CUUAGCUGCUGAAGAAGGAGAGUCGCAUUCAGCCAGGGAUCACUGAGCAUUCAAAAGUCCAUCUGAGACCUGCUUUCAUUGCACUGCCUCGUGAGGAGCUGUAGGAGAAGAUAUCAUAACUAUUCCCCACUUCUAAUUGUUAGAAGCAACAGCUGUCUAUCAAGAACAAUCUGAGGAUUGUGCACAAAUUGAUUUGGUUCUAUCAAGUGCUGGCUUUCGAUUCCAGUCUGACUUCACUACCACAGGAGCUUCUUGCUCAGGCUUCUGUUCCGGCUCCAUUCUCUCCCUGCCAUUAUAAUGCCAUCCACUGCAGCACCAUCUCUUCAAUCAUUCCACCCCUGGAAGCAGAAGGUUCCCGGGGGUUAGGAGAGCUGCUUCAGUAUCAUUGCUCUUCAAUCUCAGACAAUAGCAAACACCCUUCAGAUCUUACCAGAUAAAGAAGCUGAGGUUCAGAGAGGAUAAAUGAACUACCUGAUGUCGCCCAAGGAGGAGCACGUCAAGAUUUUCACUAGGUUGUCUUUCAUGCCAAAGUGUGUGCUUUGAACUCCAAGUUGCCAUGGUGUCAAAGGAGGGAACAUUUGGGCUUUCCUAUCAGCUUGCCCACAUGGGGCAGUGGGAGAAGAAGUGAUGGUACUUGAAAGCUGUCAACAGUCAAACAUCAAAAAUGGAGUCAAACUCUAUUACAAACUUGCAGACCAGAGAUGUCUCUUCAUCAGUGCUCAGCCCAGCUACCCUCUAGGUUGGUCUUUCUGAGGUGGCUGAAAUUCAUUAAUAAAGUGGUGCUGAACCUCUAUAGAAAAUUGAUUUCAUAUUUCUAGAAGAGUUUUAGGUUCACUGCAUAAUUGAAUGAAAAGUACUGUACAAAGAGCUGCCAUACACCCCAACAUGCACAGCUCUCUGACUGUCAGCGUCCCCCACCGCAGUGGUACAUUGGUUAAAACCGGUGAACCUACAUUGACACAUCAUUAUCAUCCAGGGUUCCUAGUUUACAUUAGGGGUCAUUCUCGGUGCUGUACAUUCCAGGGGUUUGCAAAAAGGCAUCAUGGUGAUCCUGUGUGUUACUUUUUACCAUUUCACACAUUUGCUCAGGCAGAGUUCUUUUGCAGACUGAUGAAAUCUCUGUAGGUUCAGAAUCCAGUUUCAAGACACUUAUUGCUAUCAGUUCCCUUAGGAAUGAUGGCUUCUGGGGAUUGACUUCAGGCUAACAAGGCACAUGGACUGAUGUAUAAACAAGUGCCAACAUUAAUAUUCAGUGGGAAUUUUCUUUUCUUGUCACUAGAAAACCUUAUCUCAUGUAGCCCUUCCCAUUACCAAGCUUUCCUGGAAUCCAGGUUGCUAACCAAGAAAUUGUGAGGCAAACAUGAAUAUAUGAAAUCAUGGUAAAAUAAACUGAGUAGGCUUGAUGGAUAUUUCUUUUGAGUUAUGGCAGAAAUUAAAGAAUUAUGCCUGCUUUACCGGGGAGUAUGUAUCUCUAGUGACUUUUAUUAUCUAGAUUCCAGGUCUCUGGGUAAACUCUAACAAACGGUUAUUUUUCAACACUGUUUUCUAAACUUCAUACAGAUUGCCAGGUCAUUUUGUUAGCAUUUAUGAGUAAAAUGUGGUCUUCCAGGUUAUUCAAAGUCAAAGCUAAGGUUAUAGUGACUUAGUCCCCUGAAGAGAGUUAGAGACACACCAGUCUCCUGCACUACUCACUUCAAAGUGCCUGUUGUGAGUCACUUUUGGAGAAGGCUAAUCACAUCGUAUGUUAAUUAACUUCAGUUUUAGAGGAUGACUUUUCUGAUUUUGUUUCCAACUUUUGGGAGUGACUCUCAGUCUUUGGAGCUUAUUCUACACUGAUUAUUUAGGAUCCGAAAUGAAGGUGUCAAAUAUAUGAAAUACAAAAAAAUCCCUUGACAAAAUGGAAGUCUUAUAUAAAUACAGCUAAUUAUAAAGACAUAAAUUCCAUGGUUUCCCUCAAAAUCCCUCUUGUACCAACCCCACCCCUGUCCCCAGCUUAGGUUGUUUAUGACACUUUGGCAAAGUGAAUUUCACCCUGGCUCAACUUCCAUUGUAUACCUAUGUUACCAGGACAGUUUUAUUCUCUUGGGUUCCUAAAACCAGGAUCUGCCAAAUUAAGUGUCACUUUCCAUUGAGUAUGGAACGUGAGCUGCUACCUUCAAAAAGACACCAUGAGAAGAAAUUUUCCCAGAUUUCUAAGUGACAAGGUUUUGGCUUAUCAGUAUUACAUUAAUAAAUGCAAUGUCUGAACAAAAGAAUAUAACUAAAACAAAACAAUUUAUGAUGUUAAUUUACAAUCAACAUUCCUUUAGUUACAAAAGAAUGAAACUAAGACAAAACAAUGUAACCAAUGACUGUGGAUUUGGCUCCAAACUUUAGUGGGUUUCUCUCAAGCUAUUCUUUAAUAAUGAUAAAUAGCAAUUGUAAAAUUAAAAAAAAAGAGAGACCUUAAAACUCACCUUCAUCUCCUAGUUAAAUUUCAGUUUGAUACUUUAAAACUCAUGCUUGAUUCAUGUCUCAAGAUUAUAAAUAUUCAGAUGUCUUAUAUAUUUUUUUGUACAUAGCUGUUUAAUGCAACAAAAAACAUCCAUCCUGCUGGAAGUCUCUUUUCUUUUCUUUUUUCUUUCCUUCCUUCCUUCCUUCCUUCAUUCCUUCCUUUCUCCCUCCCUCCUUCCCUCCCUCUCUCUCUUUCUUUUUUCUUUCUUUCUUUCUCUCUUUCUUUCUUUCUCUCUCUCUCCUUCAUUCCUUUCUUCCUUUCCCUUCUUUCUUCUUCCUUUCUUUCUCUCUUUUUCCUUCCUUCCUUCCUUCCUUCCUUCCUCCCUCUGUCCCUCCCUCCCUCUUUUUUCUUUCUUUCUUUCUUUCUUUCUUUCUUUCUUUCUUUCUUUCUUUCCUUCUUUCUUUCUUUCUUUCUUCCUCCUUCCUUUCUUUCUUUUUCUUUUUCUUUCUUUCUCUCUUUCUCUCUCUCUCUUUCUUUCUUCCUCCCUCCCUCCCUCCCCCUCUUCCUUCCUUCCUCUUUCCCUUCCCUUCUCUCCCCUCCUUUCCCCUCUCCUUCCUUCCUUCCCUGCUUCCUCUUUCUUCUUUUUUUAAAUACAUCCUAUUUCCUUCUAAAUGGAAGUCUAUUUUUUAAGAAAAAUGAUUUUGAUUUUGAGCAAUAAGACAGGACAUUUGGAAAGCAGUUUACUGCAUUUUCCAAGCACAAUGGUACAGGCUUCCUUAAAUAUGUCCCUUUGGAAAUUAAUGGCAAAAUUGAUGUCUCUUUUUCCUAAUCAUUAAGCCAGACUGGUAGAGAAAAAAGGGCUCUGUGUUUGUAUGCCUCUCCUCUUCUCCUUAAAUGCAGGGUCAAAUUGAAACUGUAAAAAUGACAGUCAAGAAAGUAAUUACACUCUGUUUCUUGUUCUUGCCAGAGGAGGGGUUGUAAGUAAACAAGCGUGAGCCCAGUACUUCCAAGCUAUGAAAGGAUUUCUCCAGUACAUUUUUCCCUCUUUGUGCAGACAUUAGCUAAGGUAAAUCCCAUUUCAUUUAAUAACUGCCUGCAUUAAGGAGGCUUUUUGAAGGGACUAAUUUACAUAAAGUAAGCUGAUUUGAAUAACCAGUGUUGGUUUGAAUAUUAAAAACAAAAUAUGCACCUGCAAUUUUGUAAAAGAAUUUGACUUGAUUGGCACUGCCUCAGGUGUUUCUUCCAAUAUCAGGGAGGUUAAAGUUUCCUUACUACUUUUGUGCGUCAGUGAAAAGAGCUAAAGAGAGAUUUCCAUACAAAUAAAUCCUUUGGCAACUAAUUACUGGGCACUUUGCCUAAAAGUUUGUACUGCCUUAAAUUACAGAAACAUGAAAUCAAAGAUAGUAGAAAAAAUUAAUCCUUCUGAAACUAAAGACUUAGUGUUUACCUUUAUAAAAUCCUACACUAUGGUUGCCAAUAUUUAGUUCCAUAAAGAUUAAAAACCAAGAAUUUCUUUAUAUUUGGAGGUUAAAUACUUCUUGUAAUACCCAAAUAAUUUUUUUUUUUUUUUUUUGAGACGGAGUCUCACUCUAUCGCCCAGGCUGGAGUGCAGUGGCGCGAUCUCCGCUCACUCCAAGCUCCGCCUCCUAGGUUCACGCCAUUCUCCUGCCUCAGCCUCCCAAGUAGCUAGGACUACAGGGGUGUGCCUGCAUGCCCAGCUAAUUUUUGUAUUUUUAGUAGAGACGGGGUUUCACCAUGUUGGCCAGGAUUGUCUCGAUCUCUUGACCUCAUGAUCCACCCACCUCGGCCUCACAAAGUGCUGGGAUUAUAGGCGUGAGUCACUGCGCUUGGUCAUAAAUCUUUAUAGAAAGUUUUUCAUUUGAAUUUUGCAAAAGGGCCAAUAUAUAAUAACAAUGUAUAGAUUAUAUUUCAUUUCAUAGCAUUUAGGCAGAGGUUCUUGAACUUUCUCUAGCCUCAGUACCUUUGGUGUCUAGUAAUUUUUUUACAGAGUCUCUAGGCAAAAGAAAUGCCCAAUGGAUCUGUUUAUUAAGUAGUUAGGCUCAAACAACUUAAUAACUAUUUAUAUCCUAAUACAUGAAUGCUAUUUUGAAAAAUAAUUUAUAUAAAGGCAGAGAAAACUCACGUGUCAUUCUGAAAUAACUGCAACUAUUUACCAAAAGUAUGUAUACAUCUAUUGGUCACUGCGGAAGUUCUCAAACCUUGGAAACAGAUGAACAUUAUUGCUCUCAUUUCUUGUUCCACAUUGAUUUUCAUUUGGUAAUUUUUAUCACUGUUGAAAAUGUUUUAGAAUGAUAUGAUGUCAUCAUAAGGACUGUAAAUCCAUCUAAUGCUGACACUGAAC
RNAcentral lists this long non-coding RNA (4796 nucleotides) under Homo sapiens (human). Its description in RNAcentral is "non-protein coding lnc-DNAJB9-1:5". The record is from RNAcentral. Lineage: Eukaryota; Metazoa; Chordata; Mammalia; Primates; Hominidae.